RNAcentral lists this ribosomal RNA (476 nucleotides) under uncultured bacterium. RNAcentral's name for it is "bacterial SSU rRNA". It matches the Rfam family "Bacterial small subunit ribosomal RNA", at positions 328 to 793 of the family's 1533-position model. The record is from RNAcentral.
UCAGUCGACUCCUACGGGGAGGCAGCAGUGGGGAAUAUUGCACAAUGGGGGAAACCCUGAUGCAGCCAUGCCGCGUGUGUGAAGAAGGACCUUCGGGUUGUAAAGCACUUUCAGUAGGGAGGAAGGUAGUGUAGUUAACACCUGCAUUAUUUGACGUUACCUACAGAAGAGGCACCGGCUAACUCCGUGCCAGCAGCCGCGGUAAUACGGAGGGUGCGAGCGUUAAUCGGAAUUACUGGGCGUAAAGCGCAUGCAGGCGGCCUGUUAAGUCAGAUGUGAAAGCCCGGGGCUUAACCUCGGAAUUGCAUUUGAAACUGGCAGGCUAGAGUCUUGUAGAGGGGGGUAGGAAUUUCAGGUGUAGCGGUGAAAUGCGUAGAGAUCUGAAGGAAUACCAGUGGCGAAGGCGGCCCCCUGGACAAAGACUGACGCUCAGAUGCGAAAGCGUGGGGAGCAAACAGGAUUAGAUACCCUGGUAG